UAACACGUGAGUGACCUGCCUUUUAGACUGGAACAACUUACCGAAAGGUGAGCUAAUGCCGGAUGAGUUAUAUAAGUGCAUGUUUAUAUAGGAAAAGUUGGGGAGACCUGACGCUGAAAGAUGGACUCGCGUCCCAUUAGCUAGUUGGUAGGGUAAUGGCCUACCAAGGCGACGAUGGGUAGCCGGCCUGAGAGGGUGGCCGGCCACACUGGGACUGAGACACGGCCCAGACUCCUACGGGAGGCAGCAGUGGGGAAUUUUGCGCAAUGCUCGUAAGAGUGACGCAGCGACGCCGCGUGAAUGACGAAGGCCUUCGGGUCGUAAAGUUCUUUCGACAGGGAAGAAAAUGCCUAUAAGUAACUGUGUAUGUAUUGACGGUACCUGUAUAAGCAGCCCCGGCUAACUCCGUGCCAGCAGCCGCGGUAAUACGGAGGGGGCGAGCGUUGUUCGGAGUGACUGGGCGUAAAGAGCACGUAGGCGGUGUUGUAAGUCAUUAGUCAAAGACUAGAGCUCAACUUUAGCAAGGCUAGUGAUACUAUAAUACUAGAGUAUCAGAGAGGAUUGCAGAAUUCCUGGUGUAGCGGUGAAAUGCGUAGAUAUCAGGAGGAAUACCGUUAGCGAAGGCGGCAAUCUGGCUGGAAACUGACGCUGAGGUGCGAAAGCGUGGGUAGCAAACAGGAUUAGAUACCCUGGUAGUCCACGCUGUAAACGAUGGAUGCUAGGUGU
Molecule: ribosomal RNA, 726 nt
Filed under: uncultured bacterium
Lineage: Bacteria
Description: bacterial SSU rRNA
Rfam family: Bacterial small subunit ribosomal RNA
Source: RNAcentral